Molecule: ribosomal RNA, 497 nt
Filed under: uncultured bacterium
Lineage: Bacteria
Description: partial 16S ribosomal RNA
Rfam family: Bacterial small subunit ribosomal RNA
Source: RNAcentral
GAUGAACGCUGGCGGCGUGCUUAACACAUGCAAGUCGAGCGGAAGGACCUAAAUUGUUGGUUUCUGGAGUGACGGGCGGGCGAGUAAGAAAUAGGUGGAUUGCCCCUGUCUUUGAGUUAAGCCAGGUCGAGAAAGUGUAGUUAAGGCCAUUUAUUUUUUUUAGCCGCAUGGUUUAUAAGAAACAUACGCGCUUGCGGUUAGGUAUGGGGGGUAUCGGGCUGCAUUUGCUAGUUGGUAAUGUAACGGCUUAGCAAGGCAACGAUGCAUAGCCGACCUGAGAGGGUGAUCGGCCACACUGGAACUGAGACGCGGUCCAGACUCCUACGGGAGGCAGCAGUAGGGAAUCUUCCGCAAUGGGCGAAAGCCUGACGGAGCAACGGCGCGUGAGUGAUGAAGGUCUUCGGAUCGUAAAACUCUGUUAUUAGGGAAGAACAUAUGUGUAAGUAACUGUGCACAUCUUGACGGUACCUAAUCAGAAAGCCACGGCUAACUACGUG